Molecule: ribosomal RNA, 546 nt
Filed under: uncultured bacterium
Lineage: Bacteria
Description: bacterial SSU rRNA
Rfam family: Bacterial small subunit ribosomal RNA
Source: RNAcentral
AAUAGAUACCCUGGUAGUCCACGCCGUAAACGAUGGAUACUAGGUGUAGGGGGUAUCGACCCCCCCUGUGCCGGAGUUAACGCAAUAAGUAUCCCGCCUGGGGAGUACGGCCGCAAGGUUAAAACUCAAAGGAAUUGACGGGGGCCCGCACAAGCAGCGGAGCAUGUGGUUUAAUUCGAAGCAACGCGAAGAACCUUACCAGGGCUUGACAUCCCUCUGAAAGGUGUAGAGAUACGCCCCUUCUUCGGAACAGAGGAGACAGGUGGUGCAUGGUUGUCGUCAGCUCGUGUCGUGAGAUGUUGGGUUAAGUCCCGCAACGAGCGCAACCCUUAUGAUUAGUUGCCAGCAGGUUAGGCUGGGCACUCUAAUGAGACUGCCGGGGACAACUCGGAGGAAGGUGGGGAUGACGUCAAAUCAUCAUGCCCCUUAUGUCCUGGGCUACACACGUGCUACAAUGGCCUGAAACAGAGGGAAGCGAAGGCGUAAGCCGGAGCAAAACCCAGAAACCAGGUCCCAGUUCGGAUUGUGGGCUGCAACCCGCCCACA